This 274-nucleotide ribosomal RNA is filed under the name uncultured bacterium. RNAcentral's name for it is "partial 16S ribosomal RNA". It matches the Rfam family "Bacterial small subunit ribosomal RNA", at positions 523 to 796 of the family's 1533-position model. The record is from RNAcentral.
CUACGGAGGGGGUUAGCGUUGUUCGGAAUUACUGGGCGUAAAGCGUACGUAGGCGGACUAGUAAGUGAGGGGUGAAAUCCCAGGGCUCAACCCUGGAACUGCCUUUCAUACUGCUAGUCUUGAGGUCGAGAGAGGUGAGUGGAAUUCCGAGUGUAGAGGUGAAAUUCGCAGAUAUUCGGAGGAACACCAGUGGCGAAGGCGGCUCACUGGCUCGAUACUGACGCUGAGGUACGAAAGUGUGGGGAGCAAACAGGAUUAGAAACCCUAGUAGUCC